AACGAACGCUGGCGGCAUGCCUAACACAUGCAAGUCGAACGAGACCUUCGGGUCUAGUGGCGCACGGGUUCGUAACGCGUGGGAACCUUCCCUUAGGUUCGGAAUAACUCCCCGAAAGGGGUGCUAAUACCGGAUAAUUUCUUCUGACCAAAGAUUUAUCGCCUUUGGAUGGGCCCGCGUUGGAUUAGCUAGUUGGUAGGGUAAAAGCCUACCAAGGCGACGAUCCAUAGCUGGUCUGAGAGGAUGAUCAGCCACACUGGGACUGAGACACGGCCCAGACUCCUACGGGAGGCAGCAGUGGGGAAUAUUGGACAAUGGGCGAAAGCCUGAUCCAGCAAUGCCGCGUGAGUGAUGAAGGCCUUAGGGUUGUAAAGCUCUUUUACCCGGGAUGAUAAUGACAGUACCGGGAGAAUAAGCUCCGGCUAACUCCGUG
This 433-nucleotide ribosomal RNA is filed under the name uncultured bacterium. RNAcentral describes it as "partial 16S ribosomal RNA". It matches the Rfam family "Bacterial small subunit ribosomal RNA", at positions 29 to 507 of the family's 1533-position model. The record is from RNAcentral.